ACACAUGCAGUCCGACGUGAAAGGGGAGCAAUCCCCCGGUAGGGUGGCAAACGGGUGAGUAAGACAUGGGUGAUCUGCCCUGGAGAUGGGGAUAUCCCUCCGAAAGGGGGGGCAAUACCGAAUAGUAUCCGGUUCCGUGAAGGGGGCCGGGGAAAGGGAGGCCUCCGGUACAAGCUUCCGCUCCUGGAUGAGCCCAUGGCCCAUCAGCUAGUUGGUAGGGUAAAGGCCUACCAAGGCGACGACGGGUAGCUGGUCUGAGAGGACAACCAGCCACACUGGCACUGAGACACGGGCCAGACUCCUACGGGAGGCAGCAGUGAGGAAUAUUGCGCAAUGGGGGCAACCCUGACGCAGCAACGCCGCGUGUGGGAAGAAGGCUUUCGGGUUGUAAACCACUUUUGCCCGGGACGAAAGGGGGGGCCUGAAUAAGGUCACCCGAUGACGGUACCGGGAGAAUAAGCCACGGCUAACUCUGUGCCAGCAGCCGCGGUAAGACAGAGGUGGCAAGCGUUGUUCGGAGUUACUGGGCGUAAAGAGUCUGUAGGUGGUCUGUCAAGUCUUUGGUGAAAGGCCGUGGCUUAACCAUGGGAAUGCCAAAGAGACUGGCAGACUGGAGGCUGGGAGAGGGAAGCGGAAUUUCUGGUGUAGCGGUGAAAUGCGCAGAUAUCAGGAGGAACACCAACGGCGAAGGCAGCGAUCUGGGCCGGUACUGACGCUGAGGAGCGAGAGCGUGGGGAGCGAACAGGAUUAGAUACCCUGGUAGUCCACGCCCUAAACGUUGGGCACUAGGUGUGGGGCCUAUUUCGACGGGUUCCGUGCCGUAGCUAACGCAUUAAGUGCCCCGCCUGGGGAGUACGGUCGCAAGG
RNAcentral lists this ribosomal RNA (866 nucleotides) under uncultured Leptospirillum sp. RNAcentral describes it as "bacterial SSU rRNA". It matches the Rfam family "Bacterial small subunit ribosomal RNA", at positions 51 to 893 of the family's 1533-position model. The record is from RNAcentral. Lineage: Bacteria; Pseudomonadati; Nitrospirota; Nitrospiria; Nitrospirales; Nitrospiraceae.